RNAcentral lists this unclassified non-coding RNA (332 nucleotides) under soil metagenome. RNAcentral describes it as "partial contains 5.8S ribosomal RNA, internal transcribed spacer 2, and large subunit ribosomal RNA". The stretch from base 1 to 120 matches the Rfam family "5.8S ribosomal RNA", at positions 35 to 154 of the family's 154-position model. The record is from RNAcentral.
GAUGAAGAACGCAGCGAAAUGCGAUAAGUAGUGCGAAUUGCAGAAUUCAGUGAAUCAUCGAAUCUUUGAACGCACAUUGCGCCCUUUGGUAUUCCUUAGGGCAUGCCUGUUCGAGCGUCAUUUAAACCUUCAAGCUCAGCUUGGUGUUGGGUGACUGUCCGCUUCACCGCGGACUCGCCUCAAAAUUAUUGGCGGCCGGUACAUUGGCUUCGAGCGCAGCAGAAACGCGAACUCGGGCCCGUCGUAUUGGCUCCCAGAAGCUAUCUUCACAAUUUUGACCUCGGAUCAGGUAGGGAUACCCGCUGAACUUAAGCAUAUCAAUAAGCGGAGGA